UAUAUUGUUUUCAAAGGUUUCCUUUAAAUCAUCUUUACACUUAUAUGAGGUAUUAUCAAAGCUUGACCUGCUUUGUUGACAUAAAACUUUGCAGAGUUUCUGUCUUUGGCCUAAUUACAUUUAGGCUACAUAUAUAUAUAUAUAUAUGAGCUGUACAUUGUUGAUGGAGCAAUCAAAGAAUGUAUUUCAGUAGUUGAUGGAGUAUUCAUGAGCAUGCCUAACAGGGCUAACAGAACUUUUUCGAGAGUUUGACUUUCUUUAAUUCCAUACAAACUGACAAUGAAGAAAAAGUCACAAAAAUCAUAUAUCAACAAUGACUGAAAAUAUUGAUAUUGAGUUUUUUCUUUGUCCAUGUUCAAUCGCCAAUCAAUAUACGCUUCAUAGUGUUCUAGAAUAUGUUGUCAUUAUGGAGUGAAGAUUGUAAACUUGAGGACCAAGAAAGAGGUGUACUUACACAUGCGGGUACAAGAUGGUAUACUCUUGUCAAUGUUUUGGCUUUCUUAUUACUUAUUAGUUGUAUUAUAUUUUCCUUUCACUAAUUAUUAAUUUGAAUAAAUUAUUAUUUUUUUUGUUCUCCUUCUCAAGUUUAAGGUUCAGUUCUAGAUCACUAAAUGAGACAAAUUGAGUUUUUGCGAGUAUAUCUUAAAAAAGAGUUCUUGCAACUUUUUUUACAUAAAAUUACUAAAAUGUAUUCAGUGAUGUGUAGUAUUUAAAAUACUUUUUCAUAGAUAAAUACCCUUUAUAUACAUAUUUUUGUUUGAUAAAUUUUACCUCUUUUUAACAAUGUAAUUCAGAACAUAUUGAAUUUGAGCUUUGAUUAAAAGCUUCUUGGUGCUAUAUAUAUAAUCUCAACUAUCAAAACAUUUUGUCACAUGUACCCCAAACACAUUUUUUAUUUUUUGGGGGGGUUGAAAAUUUUUGAUUCUGACAUUUCGAACUGCAAUAUCAUAUUAUACCGUGUAGUAAGUAGCUUUUUCUAUUGUAAAACUAAAUAUAAAAGGCUAGUUAGCUCGGUGAAUGAGACUCUUGCAAUUAAUCAGGGGCAGAGCCAGGAUUUUAGUUUAGGGGAGCACAAUGUUAAGAAAAAAAAAUAAUUAUUUAAAGGAGUAAAAGGGCAAAAAAAAAAUAAGAAAAAGGAAAAAAAAAAAAAAAGUAAGAAAAAUGACAACUUAAAAAGGAAACCAUUAAAAUUAAAUUUUACAAGGAAAAUUUAACUUUUUUAAAGGAAUUUGAAAAGUAAGUCAGGAAAAAACUAGAAAAAGAAGAGAUAAUUUUAAAAACUAAUAAUUUUUAGGGGGCCAUUAUAUAAAAAAUUCCAAUAUACACAUAAAAUAUUAAAAAAAUUCUAUAUGUACAGUGGGCGGGGCAAGUGCCCUGGACAUAAACUGACUCCGCCCCUACAUGUAAUUAUACCUUGGCAUGCAGUGAGACUAUUUCCUAUCUUAAAGACUUAAACUAAUUACUCCUAGUCACAAUGAGAAACAUAAAAUACUCUUUACAACAUAGAACAAAGGCAAAAUGUGAGAGUCCAUUUAGGUUAAAUUAGUUUGAUCCAAAUAAAAAUUGAAUUAAUCAAUCAUCAUUAUUAUUUUUUACUAUAUCUAAAUAUGAUUAAAUUUAACAAUCUUAGUUUUUUUUUUUUUAUAUAUUCCUCUCUUUUUUUCUUUUUUUUUUUCAAAAUUGUAAAUUAAAGACAUAGGAGAUUAAUAAUGAUGACAUCUCAUAGUGUUCGAAGAUAUAUAUCAUCUCUCCUUGCAGUUGUUGAGUCAGAGUUUUGACUAAUUAACGGUAAGCGUUCACCUAUAUAUACAUGUUCACACCCCAGUUCCCACCCCAGUUCCCACCUAGUCAUGUUCUAGCCCAUUUCAUCUUCAUCCUUCACAAAUUUUUUUUUUCCUAGUUCAUCCUUCACAAUUUCAUUGCUAGGGUUUGAAUCCAUAGCCAGAGAACAGGAGAGGGUGAUCGAUGACUGCAGGUAAGUGGUACCAAUCACCUUAUUCUGUGUUUGUUACAAUCAUCUCUCUGCUCCAAUCUUUAUUUCCCAAAUCCAAACCACAACAACAAUUACCAUUUUCACAGCCACCACCGUCACCACUCAAUUCCAUCUCCAAGGGUAUGAACUCUCCUCCAUCUUCCUCGGAAGAUAAUCUUCCCUCAAAUCCCUCAUCUACAUCAUCUGAAACUUCAUCCAACACUCAAUCAAGCGAGUCCCAGAGGGUGAACUCCAAAAUUGUCCAACUUUUUCGCGAUCAAGAACUCGGAAAAACCCUACUAACAUAUGUUAUACCCAUAUCCGUAGGUGUUUUGACAGUCUAUCCCAAACAAUCCUUGUCCCUACCAGUACCCGCAAUUGUUCUGUCACUUUGCAUUGGACUCACAGCUUUGUGGAAUGGAAUAUUGCUCCGAAACACCUUACCUGAUGCUAUUGCAAAUGUCAUGGAACAGUUUGGAGCUGGUUGUAUAUUUUUUUCUUUCUUUGCUGUGAUUAGCUCUUUGCUUCAACCAAACCUAGUUUGGGUCCCUUGGACAUGCUUUGUUAUCAUUCUCUUACCUUCUGUGUUGAGUUGUCUUCCCGUCAAAGAUACAGGUUGGGUUUGACUACAGAAGAUAUUGGAUCUUUGAUCUUGGCAUAUAUAUAUGGUGGCUGAAUAUAUAUGUUCUCUUCCAGUGAUUAGAUUCGAAAUUGAAGAGAGCUUUGAUAUGGAACAGUAGCUCCAUAAUCGAUCAGACCUCCCUGGAAGUUGGAAGCCUCUGAUCCAGCUCACAAUCAAUGAUAGGGAGUAGUGUUAGACCCUAUCUCUACAUAACUCCAUUGAGCUAUAUAUGUAUAGUUGAAGUGUUUGUGAAUAGGCUUCCUCUUUGGUUCUUUGUAUAUAGUUGAACUGUUUGUGAAUAGGCUUCACUCUUUGGUUCUUUGGUUUAUACACUCAAUACUCCUUGUGUUUGGUUGUCAGCUAGCUUUGUAAAAUUAAUUGUUCAUGUAUAAAAUUCUAUGCAUAUAUGAUCACCAUUAAUUAUUAAA
Molecule: long non-coding RNA, 3022 nt
Organism: Cornus florida
Lineage: Eukaryota; Viridiplantae; Streptophyta; Magnoliopsida; Cornales; Cornaceae
Exons: 2
Source: RefSeq, a predicted model, not a curated record